RNAcentral lists this transfer RNA (47 nucleotides) under Scurrula notothixoides. Its description in RNAcentral is "partial tRNA-Leu". Lineage: Eukaryota; Viridiplantae; Streptophyta; Magnoliopsida; Santalales; Loranthaceae. The record is from RNAcentral.
AAAAUCCGUCGACUUUGUAAAUCAUGAGGGUUCAAGUCCAUCCUUAU